Molecule: ribosomal RNA, 433 nt
Filed under: uncultured bacterium
Lineage: Bacteria
Description: partial 16S ribosomal RNA
Rfam family: Bacterial small subunit ribosomal RNA
Source: RNAcentral
AACGAACGCUGGCGGCAUGCCUAACACAUGCAAGUCGAACGAAGUCUUCGGACUUAGUGGCGCACGGGUGCGGAACGCGUGGGAAUCUGCCCUUGGGUACGGAAUAACUCAGAGAAAUUUGUGCUAAUACCGUAUAAUGUCUUCGGACCAAAGAUUUAUCGCCCAAGGAUGAGCCCGCGUAAGAUUAGCUAGUUGGUGGGGUAAAAGCCUACCAAGGCGACGAUCUUUAGCUGGUCUGAGAGGAUGAUCAGCCACACUGGGACUGAGACACGGCCCAGACUCCUACGGGAGGCAGCAGUGGGGAAUAUUGGACAAUGGGCGAAAGCCUGAUCCAGCAAUGCCGCGUGAGUGAUGAAGGCCCUAGGGUUGUAAAGCUCUUUUACCAGGGAUGAUAAUGACAGUACCUGGAGAAUAAGCUCCGGCUAACUCCGUG